Molecule: ribosomal RNA, 1509 nt
Filed under: Mycoplasmopsis canis UFG4
Lineage: Bacteria; Bacillati; Mycoplasmatota; Mycoplasmoidales; Metamycoplasmataceae
Description: Mycoplasma canis UFG4 Bacterial small subunit ribosomal RNA
Rfam family: Bacterial small subunit ribosomal RNA
Source: Rfam by way of RNAcentral
UUUUUCGAGAGUUUGAUCCUGGCUCAGGAUGAACGCUGGCUGUGUGCCUAAUACAUGCAUGUCGAGCGGAGUUCUUCGGAACUUAGCGGCGAAUGGGUGAGUAACACGUACUUAACAUGCCUUUUAGAUUGGGACAACGAUGAGAAAUUAUCGCUAAUACCGGAUACUUAUAUGGUUCGCAUGAACUAUAUAUAAAAGAAGCCUUUAAAGCUUCACUAAAAGAUUGGGGUGCGGAACAUUAGCUAGUUGGUAAGGUAAUGGCUUACCAAGGCGAUGAUGUUUAGCGGGGUUGAGAGACUGAUCCGCCACACUGGGACUGAGAUACGGCCCAGACUCCUACGGGAGGCAGCAGUAGGGAAUUUUCCACAAUGGACGAAAGUCUGAUGGAGCGACACAGCGUGCAGGAUGAAGGCCUUCGGGUUGUAAACUGCUGUUAUAAGGGAAGAAAAAGCAGUAGAGGAAAUGCUAUUGCCUUGACGGUACCUUGUCAGAAAGCAACGGCUAACUAUGUGCCAGCAGCCGCGGUAAUACAUAGGUUGCAAGCGUUAUCCGGAAUUAUUGGGCGUAAAGCGUCUGUAGGUUGUAUGUUAAGUCUGGCGUGAAAACUUGGGGCUCAACCCCAAAUUGCGUUGGAUACUGGCAUGCUAGAAUUGUGUAGAGGUUAGCGGAAUUCCUAGUGAAGCGGUGAAAUGCGUAGAUAUUAGGAAGAACAUCAACAUGGCGAAGGCAGCUAACUGGGCACAUAUUGACACUGAGAGACGAAAGCGUGGGGAGCAAACAGGAUUAGAUACCCUGGUAGUCCACGCUGUAAACGAUGAUGAUUAGCUGAUAGUAGAACUAUCGGCACAGCUAACGCAUUAAAUCAUCCGCCUGAGUAGUAUGCUCGCAAGAGUGAAACUUAAAGGAAUUGACGGGGAUCCGCACAAGCGGUGGAGCAUGUGGUUUAAUUUGAAGAUACGCGUAGAACCUUACCCACUCUUGACAUCUUCCGCAAAGCUAUAGAGAUAUAGUGGAGGCUAACGGAAUGACAGAUGGUGCAUGGUUGUCGUCAGCUCGUGUCGUGAGAUGUUCGGUUAAGUCCUGCAACGAGCGCAACCCUUGUCCUUAGUUAAUUUUCUAGGGAGACUGCCCGAGUAAUUGGGAGGAAGGUGGGGACGACGUCAAAUCAUCAUGCCUCUUACGAGUGGGGCAACACACGUGCUACAAUGGAUGGUACAAAGAGAAGCAAAACGGCGACGUCAAGCAAAUCUCAAAAAACCAUUCUCAGUUCGGAUUGUAGUCUGCAACUCGACUACAUGAAGUCGGAAUCGCUAGUAAUCGUAGAUCAGCUACGCUACGGUGAAUACGUUCUCGGGUCUUGUACACACCGCCCGUCACACCAUGGGAGCUGGUAAUGCCCGAAGUCGGUUUUGUUAACUACGGAGACAACUGCCUAAGGCAGGGCCGGUGACUGGGGUGAAGUCGUAACAAGGUAUCCCUACGAGAACGUGGGGAUGGAUUACCUCCUUU